GACGGGUAUCCGGCCUGAGAGGGUGGACGGCCACAUUGGGACUGAGACACGGCCCAGACUCCUACGGGAGGCAGCAGUGGGGAAUAUUGCACAAUGGGCGCAAGCCUGAUGCAGCGACGCCGCGUGGGGGAUGAAGGCCUUCGGGUUGUAAACUCCUUUCAACCAUGACGAAGCAUUAUGUGACGGUAGUGGUANAAGAAGCACCGGCUAACUACGUGCCAGCAGCCGCGGUAAUACAACA
RNAcentral lists this ribosomal RNA (241 nucleotides) under uncultured bacterium. RNAcentral's name for it is "partial 16S ribosomal RNA". It matches the Rfam family "Bacterial small subunit ribosomal RNA", at positions 278 to 529 of the family's 1533-position model. The record is from RNAcentral.